AUACGGAGGGUGCAAGCGUUAAUCGGAAUUACUGGGCGUAAAGCGCUCGUAGGCGGCUUGUUAAGUCGGAUGUGAAAGCCCCGGGCUCAACCUGGGAACUGCAUUCGAUACUGGCAAGCUAGAGUAUGGUAGAGGGAAGCGGAAUUCCGGGUGUAGCGGUGAAAUGCGUAGAUAUCCGGAGGAACACCAGUGGCGAAGGCGGCUUCCUGGAUCAAUACUGACACUGAGGCGCGAAAGCGUGGGGAGCAAACAGGAUUAGAUACCCCAGUAGUCC
This 274-nucleotide ribosomal RNA is filed under the name uncultured bacterium. Its description in RNAcentral is "partial 16S ribosomal RNA". It matches the Rfam family "Bacterial small subunit ribosomal RNA", at positions 523 to 796 of the family's 1533-position model. The record is from RNAcentral.